Molecule: long non-coding RNA, 295 nt
Filed under: Citrus x clementina
Lineage: Eukaryota; Viridiplantae; Streptophyta; Magnoliopsida; Sapindales; Rutaceae
Description: Citrus clementina (C. clementina) long non-coding RNA (CCLE_LNC003434)
Source: RNAcentral
UUUGAAAUUGAAGCGUAAAAAGAAAUUGAAUUAAUAAAAUUCCAAGAAGACACAUGAUACAUUUUGGCAUAACCAAAUUUCAAAAUUCAGAUAAUGAUCUACAUUCUGACCCCAGCAUGAUACAUUUUGGCAUAACCAAAUUUCAAAAUUCAGAUAAUGAGCUACAUUCUGACCCCAGCAUUUUACCUAUAUGAAUUGCAGACGAAAAUUAAAGACAUUCGGGAUCUCAAAUCACAUAUGCACAUAUGGUUUGCAAAAAUUGGUAUCCACUUCAGAUUCCAUCCACCCAAUUCCU